This 580-nucleotide ribosomal RNA is filed under the name uncultured bacterium. RNAcentral describes it as "partial 16S ribosomal RNA". It matches the Rfam family "Bacterial small subunit ribosomal RNA", at positions 355 to 932 of the family's 1533-position model. The record is from RNAcentral.
UGGGGAAUUUUGGACAAUGGGCGAAAGCCUGAUCCAGCAAUGCCGCGUGUGUGAAGAAGGCCUUCGGGUUGUAAAGCACUUUUGUCCGGAAAGAAAUCCUUGGCUCUAAUACAGUCGGGGGAUGACGGUACCGGAAGAAUAAGCACCGGCUAACUACGUGCCAGCAGCCGCGGUAAUACGUAGGGUGCAAGCGUUAAUCGGAAUUACUGGGCGUAAAGCGUGCGCAGGCGGUUUGCUAAGACCGAUGUGAAAUCCCCGGGCUCAACCUGGGAACUGCAUUGGUGACUGGCAGGCUAGAGUAUGGCAGAGGGGGGUAGAAUUCCACGUGUAGCAGUGAAAUGCGUAGAGAUGUGGAGGAAUACCGGUGGCGAAGGCAGCCCCCUGGGCCAAAUACUGACGCUCAUGCACGAAAGCGUGGGGAGCAAACAGGAUUAGAUACCCUGGUAGUCCACGCCCUAAACGAUGUCAACUAGUUGUUGGGGAUUCAUUUCCUUAGUAACGUAGCUAACGCGUGAAGUUGACCGCCUGGGGAGUACGGUCGCAAGAUUAAAACUCAAAUGAAUUGACGGGGUCAUAGCUG